UGGGGAAUUUUGCACAAUGGGCGCAAGCCUGAUGCAGCGACGCCGCGUGAGGGAUGAAGGCCUUCGGGUUGUAAACCUUUUUCGCUCAUGGUCAAGCCGCAGCUUUGGGUUGUGGUGAGGGUAGUGGGUAAAGAAGCGCCGGCUAACUACGUGCCAGCAGCCGCGGUAAUACGUAGGGCGCGAGCGUUGUCCGGAAUUAUUGGGCGUAAAGGGCUUGUAGGCGGUUGGCCGCGUCUGCCGUGAAAUCCUCUGGCUUAACUGGGGGCGUGCGGUGGGUACGGGUUGACUUGAGUGCGGUAGGGGAGACUGGAAUUCCUGGUGUAGCGGUGGAAUGCGCAGAUAUCAGGAGGAACACCGGUGGCGAAGGCGGCUCUCUGGUCUGUAACUGACGCUGAGGCUCGAAAGCGUGGGGAGCGAACAGG
This 422-nucleotide ribosomal RNA is filed under the name Bacteroidota bacterium. RNAcentral's name for it is "Bacteroidetes bacterium partial 16S ribosomal RNA". It matches the Rfam family "Bacterial small subunit ribosomal RNA", at positions 355 to 776 of the family's 1533-position model. Lineage: Bacteria; Pseudomonadati; Bacteroidota. The record is from RNAcentral.